AUUGAACGCUGGCGGCAGGCCUAACACAUGCAAGUCGAACGAAUGGCGGACGGGUGAGUAAUUUCUGGGAAACUGCCUGAUGGAGGGGGAUAACUACUGGAAACGGUAGCUAAUACCGCAUACCAUCGGAUGUGCCCAGAUGGGAUUAGCUAGUAGGUGGGGUAACGUCUCACCUAGGCGACGAUCCCUAGCUGGUCUGAGAGGAUGACCAGCCAAACUUGAACUGAGACACGGUCCAGCCUCCUACGGUAGGCAGCAGUGGGGAAUAUUGCACAAUGGGAGCAAGCCUGAUGCAGCCAUGCCGCGUGUAUGAAGAAGGCCUUCGGGUUGUAAAGUACUUUCAGCGGGGAGGCGUUACCCGCAGAAGAAGCACCGGCUAACUCCGUGCCAGCAGCCGCGGUAAUAC
Molecule: ribosomal RNA, 406 nt
Filed under: uncultured bacterium
Lineage: Bacteria
Description: partial 16S ribosomal RNA
Rfam family: Bacterial small subunit ribosomal RNA
Source: RNAcentral